CCUACGAGAGGCAGCAGUGAGGAAUAUUGGUCAAUGGUCGGGAGACUGAACCAGCCAAGCCGCGUGAGGGAUGAAGGUACAGAGUAUCGUAAACCUCUUUUGUCAGGGAACAAAGGCGGGGACGCGUCCCCGGAUGAGUGUACCUGAAGAAAAAGCAUCGGCUAACUCCGUGCCAGCAGCCGCGGUAAUACGGAGGAUGCGAGCGUUAUCCGGAUUUAUUGGGUUGAAAGGGUGCGCAGGCGGUCUGUUAAGUCAGCGGUCAAAGCCCGGGGCUCAACCCCGGCCCGCCGUUGAGACUGGCAGGCUCGAGUUGGAGAGAAGUAUGCGGAAUGCGCGGGGUAGCGGUGAAAUGCAUAGAUAUCGCGCAGAACUCCGAUUGCGAAGGCAGCAUGCCGGCUCCACACUGACGCUGAGGCACGAAAGCGUGGGUAUCGAACAGGAUUAGAUACCCUUGUAGUC
Molecule: ribosomal RNA, 459 nt
Filed under: uncultured bacterium
Lineage: Bacteria
Description: partial 16S ribosomal RNA
Rfam family: Bacterial small subunit ribosomal RNA
Source: RNAcentral